UACAGAGGUCUCAAGCGUUGUUCGGAUUCAUUGGGCGUAAAGGGUGCGUAGGCGGCGCGGUAAGUCGGGUGUGAAAUCUCGGAGCUUAACUCCGAAACUGCAUUCGAUACUGCCGUGCUUGAGGACUGGAGAGGAGACUGGAAUUUACGGUGUAGCGGUGAAAUGCGCAGAUAUCAGGAAGAACACCAAUGGCGAAAGCAGCUCUCUGGGACGGUACUGACGCUGAGACGCGAAAGCGUGGGGAGCGAACAGG
RNAcentral lists this ribosomal RNA (253 nucleotides) under uncultured bacterium. Its description in RNAcentral is "partial 16S ribosomal RNA". It matches the Rfam family "Bacterial small subunit ribosomal RNA", at positions 524 to 776 of the family's 1533-position model. The record is from RNAcentral.